UCGAGCGGCGAACGGGUGAGUAACACGUGAGUAACCUGCCCCAGGCUUUGGGAUAACCCUCGGAAACGGGGGCUAAUACCGGAUAUUCAUGUUGCGUGGCAUCACGCGGUGUGGAAAGUUUUUCGGCUUGGGAUGGGCUCGCGGCCUAUCAGCUUGUUGGUGGGGUGAUGGCCUACCAAGGCGACGACGGGUAGCCGGCCUGAGAGGGCGACCGGCCACACUGGGACUGAGACACGGCCCAGACUCCUACGGGAGGCAGCAGUGGGGAAUAUUGCACAAUGGGCGGAAGCCUGAUGCAGCGACGCCGCGUGAGGGAUGAAGGCCUUCGGGUUGUAAACCUCUUUCGACAGGGACGAAGCGCAAGUGACGGUACCUGGAGAAGAAGCGCCGGCCAACUACGUGCCAGCAGCCGCGGUAAGACGUAGGGCGCGAGCGUUGUCCGGAUUUAUUGGGCGUAAAGAGCUCGUAGGCGGCUUGUUGCGUCAGCUGUGAAAACCCGCAGCUCAACUGUGGGCUUGCAGCUGAUACGGGCAGGCUUGAGUUCGGUAGGGGAGACUGGAAUUCCUGGUGUAGCGGUGAAAUGCGCAGAUAUCAGGAGGAACACCGGUGGCGAAGGCGGGUCUCUGGGCCGAUACUGACGCUGAGGAGCGAAAGCGUGGGGAGCGAACAGGAUUAGAUACCCUGGUAGUCCACGCUGUAAACGUUGGGCGCUAGGUGUGGGGGGCCUCUCCGGUUCUCUGUGCCGCAGCUAACGCAUUAAGCGCCCCGCCUGGGGAGUACGGCCGCAAGGCUAAAACUCAGAGGAAUUGACGGGGGCCCGCACAAGCGGCGGAGCAUGCGGAUUAAUUCGAUGCAACGCGAAGAACCUUACCUGGGUUUGACAUGUGCGCUAAUCCGGCAGAGAUGUCGGGUCCUUCGGGGGCGUUCACAGGUGGUGCAUGGCUGUCGUCAGCUCGUGUCGUGAGA
This 966-nucleotide ribosomal RNA is filed under the name Dactylosporangium darangshiense. RNAcentral's name for it is "bacterial SSU rRNA". It matches the Rfam family "Bacterial small subunit ribosomal RNA", at positions 91 to 1072 of the family's 1533-position model. Lineage: Bacteria; Bacillati; Actinomycetota; Actinomycetes; Micromonosporales; Micromonosporaceae. The record is from RNAcentral.